UAAAAAGAUAUGUUUGCUUACCCUGAGAA
This 29-nucleotide non-coding RNA is filed under the name Mus musculus (house mouse). The record is from RNAcentral. Lineage: Eukaryota; Metazoa; Chordata; Mammalia; Rodentia; Muridae.